This 85-nucleotide transfer RNA is filed under the name Pseudorhodoplanes sp. RNAcentral describes it as "tRNA-Leu". It matches the Rfam family "tRNA". Rfam says of the family: Transfer RNA (tRNA) molecules are approximately 80 nucleotides in length. Their secondary structure includes four short double-helical elements and three loops (D, anti-codon, and T loops). Further hydrogen bonds mediate the characteristic L-shaped molecular structure. tRNAs have two regions of fundamental functional importance: the anti-codon, which is responsible for specific mRNA codon recognition, and the 3' end, to which the tRNAs corresponding amino acid is attached (by aminoacyl-tRNA synthetases). tRNAs cope with the degeneracy of the genetic code in two manners: having more than one tRNA (with a specific anti-codon) for a particular amino acid; and 'wobble' base-pairing, i.e. permitting non-standard base-pairing at the 3rd anti-codon position. The record is from RNAcentral. Lineage: Bacteria; Pseudomonadati; Pseudomonadota; Alphaproteobacteria; Hyphomicrobiales.
GCGGACGUGGCGGAAUGGUAUACGCAGCAGACUUAAAAUCUGCGGCCCACAAGGCAUGAGGGUUCGAUUCCCUCCGUCCGCACCA